RNAcentral lists this small nuclear RNA (116 nucleotides) under Malassezia sympodialis ATCC 42132. RNAcentral describes it as "U5 spliceosomal RNA". It matches the Rfam family "U5 spliceosomal RNA". Rfam says of the family: U5 RNA is a component of both types of known spliceosome. The precise function of this molecule is unknown, though it is known that the 5' loop is required for splice site selection and p220 binding, and that both the 3' stem-loop and the Sm site are important for Sm protein binding and cap methylation. Lineage: Eukaryota; Fungi; Basidiomycota; Malasseziomycetes; Malasseziales; Malasseziaceae. The record is from Rfam by way of RNAcentral.
UGCUGCUGUGGGACCCUCUCCACACACUUGAACCUCGCCUUUUACUAGAUUCAACCGGGUUGGUCCCACAAUGAUAGCAGCAUGUACGACUUUUUCGACUUCGUUCCGGAUCGGAA